AUGGCGGGUCUCUUAAAUUUCAAUGUCUUAUAUAAUUCUGAAAGACCCACCAGGACAUGGGGAGAAUUGUCUCAUUUGACCAACAACAAUCAACUUCAUUGCCAAAAGAUCCCUAAGCCUGGAGAACAAUUUCACUCUAUGGAGGUCCCUUUCUAUUGGCCUCAAGGCCAAAUACCACCAUUUUAGUUCUCUGCUAUUUAUAUUCAUAAAACGCAGAAGAGACUGUUUUGGAAAAGGAGGCUUAGAAAAGAAUUUAUUUUCUUUUUUGUGUGUGUAUUAGUCAACAGGCAUAGCUGAGCAUGACUAUGUGUAGUGUGAUUAUAUUUUAUAUGAUAAACUUCUCUCCACCUCCCAUUGCUUCCCUCUCUCUUUUUUCCACAUUAGGGUUUAUUUUCAAGUGUCGUGUGUCCAGGUGUUGUAAUGACCAAUAUGACAUAUGAAAUGAUGUCCCCUCUUUUCUGGAAGCUGCUUUUCCCUUUCUUAUGGCUGCUACGCCUGUGCACCCCUACAUACACUCUGAUACCGUACAACGGAGCAGAAGCACAGAUUUGGUUGUUUAAGCAGAAGCCAGAGUUGCUGGAUCCCCUGGCGAAAUAUUACAGUUGUACUACUGUUUUUGGGAAGAAUUACAGUGAGAGCCGCAAGGUAAGUCAAUUCUUUUGAUGAAAUGAUACCGUAAGCACUGUUUCUGUAGGUAUAGAGUGCUGUGCAAUACAUUUAUGGAUAGUUCUACAACCAGGCAGUGUAAAUUAGGGUUCCCACUGAGGAUUGCCAGAAAGUCCUUUCCAGUACAUCUUAUAAACAGUCACAUAGUUAAUGAAUGUAGAAUUUUAGAAAUUGGAGAGAUAUUUUUGUGUAAGCCAUACUCAUUGCAAUAAACCCCAUCCAUCCCAGUCUUUAAUCCCCCUAAUUUUCUUGUGUUAGAGCCUAGGCACAUACAGAUAGUCCUAGAGUUAUGAUAGGUCACUUAGGAACAGUUCAAAGUCACGACAGAUACCCCAAAAAGUACUUAGGACCCAGUCCUGAAAUUGUGUACGUUGCAGCAUCUCUGCGGUCAUUUGCCCUUACAACUGAAGCGGCGCUGACCACAGAGACGCUGCAACAUAUCUCCCCCCCCUCUGCCUAUUUCCCCCCAUCCUGACGCAGAUCUCCAUAGGCACCGAGCCUGAAAGUUAUGUACACUCCUGCCUGCCUGCCCGCCUCCAUCACUGAUUGCUCACUUACCUUUCCAGAGCUCAGGUUGUUGGGGUAGGAAAAGAGGACACACCACUCCAUUACGGAGCCAAGUGAUAGAAAAGCAGUCUUUCUGAGAUUCUGGUUUUAUUAGUAAAACUAUUCUCUUGCUAUAUGCUGCCUCUCUCUCUUCCUGCACACAACCAUACAUUGCCUCUUUCUCCCAGCAAAUGCAACCUCUUCCCUUGCUACCAUUCUCCCUUUUCUCCCUGCAAAUGCAUUCAGCCCACCCUGCCU
Non-coding RNA from Notechis scutatus (mainland tiger snake), 1470 nucleotides. NCBI's taxonomy places the organism in Eukaryota, Metazoa, Chordata, Lepidosauria, Squamata, Elapidae. The record is from RefSeq and is a predicted model, not a curated record.